ACGCGCCGNGCGGAGGANACGGGCGGGAACCCGUCUAAUACCGCGUAACGCGGCCUUGGGGCAUCCCAAGGCCGCCAAAGGGAGCAAUCCCGGCCACGGAUGGGCAUGCGGCGCAUUAGCUAGUCGGCGGGGUAACGGCCCACCGAGGCGACGAUGCGUAGGGGUUCUGAGAGGAAGGCCCCCCACACUGGUACUGAGACACGGACCAGACUCCUACGGGAGGCAGCAG
Molecule: ribosomal RNA, 229 nt
Filed under: uncultured bacterium
Lineage: Bacteria
Description: partial 16S ribosomal RNA
Rfam family: Bacterial small subunit ribosomal RNA
Source: RNAcentral